CCCUUAGAUGUUCUGGGCAGCACGCGCGCUACAAUGGUCUUCGCAAACGGAUGCAUUCUCGAAGGAGAAUGCCAAUCUUGGAAUCUAUGCCUUGGUCGGGACAGUUGCUUGCAAUUUUUCGACUCGAACCAGGAAUUCCUUGUAAUCGUGAUUCAUCACAUCACGAUGAAUACGUCCCUGCCCUUUGUACACACCGCCCGUCGCUCCUACCGAUCGAAGAGUUAGGUGAAUUGUUUUGAUCGAUAAGAUUUGACUAUGGUCAACUCUGGUUGUGAAAUUCUGUGAAUCUGACUGUUUAGAGGAAGGAAAAGUCGUAACA
Molecule: ribosomal RNA, 319 nt
Filed under: uncultured eukaryote
Lineage: Eukaryota
Description: partial 18S ribosomal RNA
Rfam family: Eukaryotic small subunit ribosomal RNA
Source: RNAcentral